RNAcentral lists this ribosomal RNA (465 nucleotides) under uncultured bacterium. Its description in RNAcentral is "bacterial SSU rRNA". It matches the Rfam family "Bacterial small subunit ribosomal RNA", at positions 328 to 792 of the family's 1533-position model. The record is from RNAcentral.
UGCCCAGACUCCUACGGGAGGCAGCAGUGGGGAAUAUUGCACAAUGGGGGAAACCCUGAUGCAGCGACGCCGCGUGAGUGAAGAAGUAUUUCGGUAUGUAAAGCUCUAUCAGCAGGGAAGAAAUAGCGACCUUUGGGUCGCCAGACGGUACCUGAUUAAGAAGCCCCGGCUAACUACGUGCCAGCAGCCGCGGUAAUACGUAGGGGGCAAGCGUUAUCCGGAUUUACUGGGUGUAAAGGGAGCGUAGACGGCAGCGCAAGUCUGAAGUGAAAUGCCGGGGCUUAACCCCGGAACUGCUUUGGAAACUGUUAAGCUGGAGUGCAGGAGAGGUAAGUGGAAUUCCUAGUGUAGCGGUGAAAUGCGUAGAUAUUAGGAGGAACACCAGUGGCGAAGGCGGCUUACUGGACUGUAACUGACGUUGAGGCUCGAAAGCGUGGGGAGCAAACAGGAUUAGAUACCCUGGUA